Molecule: non-coding RNA, 26 nt
Filed under: Mus musculus (house mouse)
Lineage: Eukaryota; Metazoa; Chordata; Mammalia; Rodentia; Muridae
Source: RNAcentral
UACAAACAAUAUUUAGGUCCUUGUCC